AUCUGUUCACUCCGCAUCGCACAUAGCAUCUGUGCCCAGCAUCUAUGCAUUUUAUCACUGAUAUCUGUCAGGUCUGUGCUGUUUUUGUCCGUGCUUUUACUUUGUUUCUCUUUCAGUCUUUUAUGUUACUUCCUGUCUGCCAUUGUUUCCUUCCUGUGUCUAGUCCUUGUGCUUCCUCAGUGAGUAGAGAUUUGUGAUUAGCGCUUUCCCUUUAUUGUUUAAGUUACUUGUGUUUCUGACCUUGGACUGUACAUCGACACCUGCCUAUGCCCUGUUUGGAUUUGUUUGCUUGCUUUUGGACUGCCUACCCGUGUACCGAACCCUGCUUAGUAAAACGUUCUACUGCUUGUUCUGAGUCGUGCAUUUGAGUUCUGCACAUCACCACCAAGUUGUAACAAUAUCUUGAUCUCAAUUCUGCUUAAAUUGGUUCUUGCUUGUUCCUGUUUUUUUCCUAGCGGCAAAUGUUAAUGAAGAGGCUCUUAAGUCACUGUCAAAAGAAGAUCUGCGGGACCUUUUCCCAGGGCCCGAACAUUUUCUCAGGAGAAAAUCUAUUUGGGAGGUGGUCCACCCUGUGUUUGAACUCUUCAAGCGAUUACACAAAAGAUUGCAGAACAUCAGGACCCCAAAGAAACCCCAAGGGCCUAAACCAAAAGGGGGGAAAAAGAGACACCUUCAUUUUGAAGAAAGCGAUGAAGAUGAUUUUGCCUCCAGCUCAUCCACCGUUAUUAUGUCGCCAAGUUCCAGCAGCCACAUCAGCAGCUCCCCAGAAAGGGAAGGGGUUCACCAACCCAUAAGCAGCACACCAAUGAAGCAGGCGGAUGUUGUUGAAGGCCAGCAGGAUGGCAGGAUACUUCAGGCACGACACUACAAGACUCUUCAACAGUUAUGUCAAAAACCCAGACAGAAUAAGGAUGCCAUGAAACAGAUCCUUGACCUCGAGUUUGAGGGAAGAAGGGCAUUUAUUGAUUCAGAUACGCUGAAGGAAUGUGACCGGCCGGCAAAAAUGUCGACGUUUACCCAUGCUUCAAAGAAAUCGACCAUGUCCUAGAGGAACUUAAACGAAUUUUGGACAACAGCAACCCAAACUAUGUGGCAGAGAUGCGACAGCGGUUGCUUGAAUUUAAAACUAAAGCAACUUUUUAUGGGGUGUUCAGGAAAGUCAUGAAACCGCCAAUGAAACUUUCUGCCGGAAAGGCCUGCAGUUCAGAAUAUAUAUUCAAUUCAAUUUAUUGUUUAAAGUGUAGUAUCACCAUGAACUUGGUCUCAGAAUACUGAUUCACAAUUGAAUAAAUGAAAUAAGAUUAUAGUUACAUAGGCAAAUCAUUAAUCAUCACUAGGUGGCGGGCCAAAGUCUGGGUUACUGCAUAUUAAGACGCUGCAAUAGGUGCACUCGCAACAACUAGGCCUACAUGGAGAAUGGAUAGGUCUACUACAAAUAACUAAUGAUAAUAAACCAUGUGAAUGAGCCCAUUGGUUGUCUGUUUGAAUAAUUUAAUUAUUUUAACGAACUCUGUCUUAUGCCCUGUCAAUAUAGCCUUGCCUAUUGUGAAUAAUAGCAAUGACGACGUUUUUUCAACAUUGAG
This is a long non-coding RNA of Clupea harengus (Atlantic herring), 1583 nucleotides long. RefSeq lists it as uncharacterized. The record is from RefSeq and is a predicted model, not a curated record. The transcript is spliced from 4 exons. NCBI's taxonomy places the organism in Eukaryota, Metazoa, Chordata, Actinopteri, Clupeiformes, Clupeidae.